UCCAGCUGCCAUAUCACCCUGCAGCUCACGGCUCACAGCUGGCAGCCCACUGGAGCCCAGCAGGUGUGAGCCUGGUCAGUACCUGGAUGGGAGACUCCUGGGAAAACUAAGGGUGCUGCUGGAA
Molecule: ribosomal RNA, 124 nt
Filed under: Lepisosteus oculatus (spotted gar)
Lineage: Eukaryota; Metazoa; Chordata; Actinopteri; Semionotiformes; Lepisosteidae
Source: RNAcentral